Molecule: ribosomal RNA, 225 nt
Filed under: Triticum aestivum (bread wheat)
Lineage: Eukaryota; Viridiplantae; Streptophyta; Magnoliopsida; Poales; Poaceae
Description: partial small subunit ribosomal RNA
Source: RNAcentral
AUGUGUGUCCCAAAGGAAAAGGUUGGAAUGGGUUUUAGAGACUUGCAUUGUUUUAAUUUGGCUCUUCUCGCAAAGCAGUGUUGGAGGUUGUUAUGUGAACCAAAUUCUUUAUGUGCUAGAGUUUUGAGAGCAAAAUAUUUUCCUGAUGGAGACCUUCUUAACUGCGGCCUUAAGAAGGGUAGUUCUUAUACAUGGCAGAGUCUAUGGAGUGGAAUUCAGUCUUUU